This 814-nucleotide ribosomal RNA is filed under the name uncultured bacterium. RNAcentral describes it as "bacterial SSU rRNA". It matches the Rfam family "Bacterial small subunit ribosomal RNA", at positions 8 to 817 of the family's 1533-position model. The record is from RNAcentral.
AGAGUUUGAUCAUGGCUCAGGAUGAACGCUAGCGGCAGGCUUAACACAUGCAAGUCGAGGGGCAGCACAGGUAGCAAUACUGGGUGGCGACCGGCGCACGGGUGAGUAACGCGUAUGCAAUCUACCUUUAACAUUGGGAUAGCCCAGGGAAACUUGGAUUAAUACCGAAUAGUUCUAUAAUAUGGCAUCAUAUAUUAGAUAAAAUUUAGGUGGUUAAAGAUGAGCAUGCGUGCCAUUAGGUAGUUGGUAAGGUAACGGCUUACCAAGCCUACGAUGGCUACGGGGUCUUAAAGGAUGAUCCCGCACACUGGUACUGAGACACGGACCAGACUCCUACGGGAGGCAGCAGUGAGGAAUAUUGGUCAAUGGGCGCGAGCCUGAACCAGCCAUGCCGCGUGCAGGAUGACAGCCCUAGUGGUUGUAAACUGCUUUUAUAUGGGAAGAACAUUAGUUACGAGUAAUUAACUGCCGGUACCAUAUGAAUAAGCAUCGGCUAACUCCGUGCCAGCAGCCGCGGUAAUACGGAGGAUGCAAGCGUUAUCCGGAUUUAUUAGGUUUAAAGGGUGCGUAGGCGGGUCUUUAAGUCAGAGGUGAAAUCCUGCAGCUCAACUGUAGAACAGCCUUUGAUACUGGGGGUCUUGAAUUAAGUGGAGGUAUGCGGAAUGUGUAAUGUAGCGGUGAAAUGCUUAGAUAUUACCCAGAACACCAAUUGCGAAGGCAGCAUACUAUAUUUAUAUUGACGCUGACGCACGAAAGCGUGGGUAUCGAACAGGAUUAGAUACCCUGGUAGUCCACGCUGUAAACGAUGCUCACU